AGCAGCCGCGGUAAUUCCAGCUCCAAUAGCGUAUAUUAAAGUUGUUGCAGUUAAAAAGCUCGUAGUUGAACUUCGGGAUUUACCCAUUGGUCAGGCUUAAUUGUCUGUACUGGUGAGAUAAAUCUCUACCUUCUGAGGAACUUUCAUGCCAUUUAUUUGGUGUGAUUGGAAAUCAGGACUAUUACUUUGAAAAAUUAGAGUGUUUAAAGCAGGCUAACGUCUGAAUACAUUAGCAUGGAAUAAUGAAAUAGGACGGCUUGGUUCUAUUUCGUUGGUUUCUAGGAUCACCGUAAUGAUUAAUAGGGAUAGUUGGGGGCAUUAGUAUUCAAUUGUCAGAGGUGAAAUUCUUGGAUUUAUUGAAGACUAACUACUGCGAAAGCAUUUGCCAAGGAUGUUUUCAUU
This 402-nucleotide ribosomal RNA is filed under the name uncultured Diversispora. RNAcentral describes it as "SSU rRNA". It matches the Rfam family "Eukaryotic small subunit ribosomal RNA", at positions 569 to 974 of the family's 1831-position model. Lineage: Eukaryota; Fungi; Glomeromycota; Glomeromycetes; Diversisporales; Diversisporaceae. The record is from RNAcentral.